CAGUCGAACGAACUUCCGUUAAUUGAUUAUGACGUACUUGUACUGAUUGAGAUUUUAACACGAAGUGAGUGGCGAACGGGUGAGUAACACGUGGGUAACCUGCCCAGAAGUAGGGGAUAACACCUGGAAACAGAUGCUAAUACCGUAUAACAGAGAAAACCGCAUGGUUUUCUUUUAAAAGAUGGCUCUGCUAUCACUUCUGGAUGGACCCGCGGCGUAUUAGCUAGUUGGUGAGGUAAAGGCUCACCAAGGCAGUGAUACGUAGCCGACCUGAGAGGGUAAUCGGCCACAUUGGGACUGAGACACGGCCCAGACUCCUACGGGAGGCAGCAGUAGGGAAUCUUCCACAAUGGACGCAAGUCUGAUGGAGCAACGCCGCGUGAGUGAAGAAGGGUUUCGGCUCGUAAAGCUCUGUUGUUAAAGAAGAACGUGGGUAAGAGUAACUGUUUACCCAGUGACGGUAUUUAACCAGAAAGCCACGGCUAACUACGUGCCAGCAGCCGCGGUAAUACGUAGGUGGCAAGCGUUAUCCGGAUUUAUUGGGCGUAAAGCGAGCGCAGGCGGUCUUUUAAGUCUAAUGUGAAAGCCUUCGGCUCAACCGAAGAAGUGCAUUGGAAACUGGGAGACUUGAGUGCAGAAGAGGACAGUGGAACUCCAUGUGUAGCGGUGAAAUGCGUAGAUAUAUGGAAGAACACCAGUGGCGAAGGCGGCUGUCUGGUCUGCAACUGACGCUGAGGCUCGAAAGCAUGGGUAGCGAACAGGAUUAGAUACCCUGGUAGUCCAUGCCGUAAACGAUGAUUACUAAGUGUUGGAGGGUUUCCGCCCUUCAGUGCUGCAGCUAACGCAUUAAGUAAUCCGCCUGGGGAGUACGACCGCAAGGUUGAAACUCAAAAGAAUUGACGGGGGCCCGCACAAGCGGUGGAGCAUGUGGUUUAAUUCGAAGCUACGCGAAGAACCUUACCAGGUCUUGACAUCUUCUGACAGUCUAAGAGAUUAGAGGUUCCCUUCGGGGACAGAAUGACAGGUGGUGCAUGGUUGUCGUCAGCUCGUGUCGUGAGAUGUUGGGUUAAGUCCCGCAACGAGCGCAACCCUUAUUACUAGUUGCCAGCAUUAAGUUGGGCACUCUAGUGAGACUGCCGGUGACAAACCGGAGGAAGGUGGGGACGACGUCAAAUCAUCAUGCCCCUUAUGACCUGGGCUACACACGUGCUACAAUGGAUGGUACAACGAGUCGCGAGACCGCGAGGUUAAGCUAAUCUCUUAAAACCAUUCUCAGUUCGGACUGUAGGCUGCAACUCGCCUACACGAAGUCGGAAUCGCUAGUAAUCGCGGAUCAGCAUGCCGCGGUGAAUACGUUCCCGGGCCUUGUACACACCGCCCGUCACACCAUGAGAGUUUGUAACACCCAAAGCCGGU
This 1416-nucleotide ribosomal RNA is filed under the name Pediococcus pentosaceus. RNAcentral's name for it is "bacterial SSU rRNA". It matches the Rfam family "Bacterial small subunit ribosomal RNA", at positions 59 to 1431 of the family's 1533-position model. The record is from RNAcentral. Lineage: Bacteria; Bacillati; Bacillota; Bacilli; Lactobacillales; Lactobacillaceae.